GGUUCGAACGAUGUCCAACACCUGAGCAGGUCAGAGGUCAGAGGUCAGAGGUGAAAACAGAACACGUGAUGAUGAUGAUGAUGAGAGGAGCUGAUGCUGCCGUACAGGAGGACGCCGCGUCUCUGACUGACGUGUGUAGUCCAGCUUCACCAGCCAAUAGGAGGCCACUUUUGGUUUGUGAUACUUCCAGUUGUCAUGCAUCUGAGUGAGAAAGUGACACCUUCAUCCUCACAGACGCCUCUGACACCUCAGCACAGACACGGAGUCGAUAACAAUGUCGGCUCCACCGAUCACUCGGCUCAGUUACGGCUUCAGGCACAUUUUACUGUGGAGCGUGUUGACGGCACGCCAUGGUAACGCUGCCUGAGAAACACAUCUGGAUUUGUUGUAUCAGAAGAGUUUAGAGCCACUGCCACAGAACCAGAAAGUGGUCCCAGGGGGGCGCUCCAGUGCAAACCUUAUACUGUAUGUGUUUACACACACACACACACACACACACAUACACACUCACAAAGAAAAACAAAAAUACACACAAUUGUAAGAACUAAGAAAUAAAUAUCCUGCUGGGAAACAAUUCUUUUUGGAAUUAGGAUUAAUUGUGUUUUUUUUUCCACCAUUAAUUGCAUCGUUAGGUCCAAAAUUAAAUAAUGAAGUGUGUUGUAACUGUUGGUCUGCCAACAAUUUAAACAGUGACAGCGACACAUCAAAUCUUUGGUUUACUCUCUGAUCCAUCUUUGAGUCAAUGGAAUAUUAUCAACCAGUUUUUUAAACGAUCAGGGAAACAUUCUCAUCAUUGACUCAUUAACAUUAACAACAUUAAUCACUGUCACAAAUUAUUAAGACUUAGAAAAGUGACUCACAGGAGCAUUUUUUAAAUCAGAACUGGAGAAAAGACUAAAUGGUUCUUUAAGAAUCCAAGUCCACAGUUGGGUUUGUGUCACUGUGUCUCUGUGAAGAUUUAAGAAUAUUCAAAAAAAACCAACUCAGAGGCUGGAAGUCGUUUAGCUGCUAGUUAGUGAUUAGUUCUAUAACGGCCACGCUCACGUUAACUGUCGAGUAUUUUCUUUUUUUUUUUCUUUCUUCAGAUAUUUUCACGGCUGAACUUUUCUGUGACCGUUUAAAGUCUACAGUCCAUUCAUCCGUCGGACGGUACGACAGACCUAAAACGGCGCCGUUUCUUCUACUCAUUUAGCUUCUUCUGCUUCACGGUCACAUGAACAAUAAAACUGGGAGGAGAACAUGUGUCACAUUUGUGGCUUACGGACAUAAAAUUCCUUCCAAUUAGCAAAAGAAAAAGCUAAUUAGGCAAAAGGUUGACUUUGAGUCAAAGAUGAAGGAGGUCGUUACUCUGACAAUACGACAUCAUUCUCUGGAUUGGUCCUAAAUAUAAAAACAUAAUAAAAUAAGCUCUUGGUUCCAGGUAAACGUCUCCUGAGGCUCAGACAUGAACAUCACAGGUGCGGAGGUAAUUGUGUUGCACAAACCUGACACACACACACACACAGAUGUCUCUCUCACACACACACACAUCUACAUACAAUUUAUUUCUCUGUUCUCUUAGUGAAAAUUACCUGGUGACUUGUUCUAGUUUAACCUUGAUUUAUAAACACACAGAUUUUAUUACGACGUUCAGUGAUUACAUUUACUGCUGUGAGGAAAGUCGUGGCCUCUCGACUGAUGCCACUCAUGUCCACUGCACCACAGACUUUUAAUUUACACCGUUUCAGUUGAAAACACUGCUUUCCAACAAAUAAACUGCUCCUUAAACUAGACCUGUAACAGAACAAGUCCUGGCCCGACGUCGUCUCUGAUGUUGUUGACCUACUUCACCAAACUACUCAUUAGGCCAACGCUGAAGUCAGAGAGGAAAACACACAACACUACCUGACUGGACCGCUGCAUGUUUCUGGGUACGACUCUGACACUAGAACAGGUAUCUGAGUCCACGACGUCAGGGCAGUUCAUAUAAAACCUGGGCCAAACCACUACACCGUCAGGUUUGUCACAACACCACUGAAGAGGAAAGAGCAAAGAGAGAUCCACUCUCAUUUUCAUGAACCUCCUGACUGAUGUGCUUUUGUUUUUGACAGUAGGUCAACAAAGGUCAAACACAGUAUGGAGCGGCGGCAGGAAGUUAUAUUUAGUCUAAAAACUUACAGGAAUUUAUUCCAAUAUUUGAAUAUUUCAACAGUACUAAACCCUGACUUUAUUGAAUUUUUUUCCAGCAGCCUGCUCCCAGCAGCACAGCACGUCCACCAAUUACAAAUAAGUACAAAAACUAAUGAGCCAUAUACCACAAGCCGUACUGUAUGUCUUUAAAAGUACAAAUUAAACAAAUGAAUGCUAAUGGUUUUAGCAGAAACACAAGUGGAAGAAAACACCAGAUGGCAGGACACAGAGGUGUGCCCAGAAAUAGAGGAGGCCAUGAUUAAAACAAAGGAGCAGCGGGGAAUAAGUCUGAGCCGCAGACGGAGCGACAGGUUGUCACUGAGGUCAUUUGUGACACGGCGAACGCCAGGCCGAUGUGGACACGCUAGAGCGGAGGGGGAGGAGGUCACUUUUAGUUAGGCUGCAGAGUGACCGCACCUGGCCACAGAGGGGACUGUGGGAGUACGAAAAGAUCUGCACUUCUGUACAACACGUUUGCCACCUUCACCGCUGCCGCCUUUUGGUUUUUUCUUUUUCUUUUUCUUUUUGUAACUGAACCAGAAUCUCAGUGACUCUGUGUCAGGAAACUAUUUAAGGAUAAUGUUUGUAGGUUUUUAGUAAAAAAAAAAAACU
This is a long non-coding RNA of Cynoglossus semilaevis (tongue sole), 2781 nucleotides long. RefSeq lists it as uncharacterized. The record is from RefSeq and is a predicted model, not a curated record. NCBI's taxonomy places the organism in Eukaryota, Metazoa, Chordata, Actinopteri, Pleuronectiformes, Cynoglossidae. The transcript is spliced from 4 exons.